This 1215-nucleotide ribosomal RNA is filed under the name human gut metagenome. Its description in RNAcentral is "bacterial LSU rRNA". It matches the Rfam family "Bacterial large subunit ribosomal RNA", at positions 1404 to 2596 of the family's 2925-position model. The record is from RNAcentral.
GGGAGGCGUAGCCGACGCGCAGCAGGCAGACAUUCCUGCACCGCGCACGCGGCGCUACGACCGACGGGGCGACGGAUGGGGGUGGCUCGGCGGGGUUCUGGACGUCCCCGUGAUGGAGCGCGGCCCGCGGACCAGGGAAAUCCGGUCCGCACACAGGGCGAGGCUCCGGACGAAGCGACUGAGCGAAGCGAGUGAGCCCGAGGUCCCUAGAAAAACCCCUAGGCAGGCGCGUGCGCGCCCGUACCGCAAACCGACACAGGUGGGUGGGUAGAACAUACCGAGGCGAUCGGGUCAACCAUGGUCAAGGAACUCGGCACAAUGGCCCCGUAACUUCGGGAGAAGGGGUGCCCGCGCGUACGUGAACCGGCUCGCCCGGGGAGCGGAGGCGGGCCGCAGUGGAGAGGCCCAAGCGACUGUUUACCAAAAACACAGGACUCUGCAGAAGCCGCAAGGCGACGUAUAGGGUCUGACGCCUGCCCGGUGCCGGAAGGUCACGCGGAGGAGUUAGCCGAUUCGGCGAAGCCCCGAAGCCAAGCCCCGGUAAACGGCGGCCGUAACUAUAACGGUCCUAAGGUAGCGAAAUUCCUUGUCGGGUAAGUUCCGACCUGCACGAAAGGCGCAACGACUUGGGCGCUGUCUCGACCAUGGACCCGGUGAAAUUGCACUGGUCGUGAAGAUGCGACUUACCCGCGGAAGGACGGAAAGACCCCGUGAACCUUCACUGCAGCUUGGCAUUGGCCGCUGGUCCCGCGUGUAGAGGAUAGGCAGGAGGCACAGAUCCGGAGGCGCCAGCCCCCGGGGAGCCGCCCUUGGAAUACUGCCCUCGCGCGACCGGCGUCCUAACCCGAGGCCGUCAACCGGCUCGGGGACCGUGCCAGGCGGGCAGUUUGACUGGGGCGGUCGCCUCCUAAAGGGUAACGGAGGCGCGCGAAGGUCCGCUCGGGACGGUCGGCAACCGUCCUUUUGAAUGCAAGAGUACAAGCGGGCUUGACUGCGAGGCCCACAAGCCGAGCAGGUGCGAAAGCAGGCUCUAGUGAUCCGGCGGCCCCGAGUGGGUGGGCCGUCGCUCAACGGAUAAAAGGUACUCCGGGGAUAACAGGCUGAUCUUGCCCAAGAGUCCACAUCGACGGCAAGGUUUGGCACCUCGAUGUCGGCUCAUCGCAUCCUGGGGCUGGAGUCGGUCCCAAGGGUACGGCUGUUCGCCGUUUAAAGCGG